CCAGCCCACUUGGGCUAAGUAGGAAUGUGCAGUAUGUAUUACUCACUGGCCGGCACUCGGCUCUACUCCUUGGCUGGGCAGCACUUUCACUUUGCUGUUCUCCAUGAGGCUUUCAGGCUGCUGAGUGUUGUUAACCAUUGUCCUCCCUGACGGUCAUGGCAGGUUUCCUGCUGGUGCCCACUCCUUCACUGCGUUGAGAGAAAAAUCUCAUGACUCAUUUGUCUGCCCUGUAAUGAAAACACGUGGUUCUGAUGCAUUUGCUUAUAACUUUUGCUAGCUGAGCCUUUGUAAUUAAUUACAUCAUAGAAAAGUCUUGGGGAGAAAUUUGCGAUUUCAUUGUUCUGUUCCUUCAUUUCUUUCUUUUAAACCAUUUCACAAUUCUUACCUGGUUUUCAAUUUAAUGAGCAAAUUCCAUCCACUGCCGACAGAGGGUUAGUGCAGCCUUGUGCAGCACCAGAGCUGUACAAAGGGUUAUUGGGAAGCCCUCCUUGGAGUCACACCUUGUUGGCUCAAUAUGCCCUCAGGCAGAGUUCUCUCCAGCAGAAUUCAUCCACAUGCCUUCAUCUGCACUUGCAGUAACCACAGGUAAGCAACAAGUAAUAAAUUUAAUUCUAGUGAUAUCUGCAGUUAAAAUGUUGUUCUAACCCUUUGCCGGGUGAUAUGUUUUACCUAUCAAACACCUCUGAAAUGAAAGGGUAUUUCUCACUACUUUCUAUCUUAGCAAUACUACUGUACUUAACAUAAAGUUCUGUUCUCUGUAGAUACCUGAGAGACAGCAGUGUCCCAGCUUGAGGUCAGAGAAGUUUCGUUUUGUUUUUAAGUAGCGAUAGCAUUUUCUUAUUUCUAGAACAGUCGAUGACAGAUACAUCUGCUUCCAAGCAGAUGGGCAGUUUUUCUGACAAUUCAGCAAACAGAAGGCAGGUGCAAGGAUUUUUGGCAAUAGGAAGUUUGUGCGACUUGUUACUAUUAAAAGAAACAAAAAGCAAAGUGCAGUUAAAUGGUGGUCUUGCAUCACAGCCCGAGCUUCAUGCUGAACUCCAUGAUAAAUAUUUAGGGGAGCACAGAACAAACCAGCAUAGCAAGAGUUGUGUUUCCCCAUCUGACUUUCUUAACGUAAUUGGAGGAGGCCCAACUCUUGAGAAGGCAGUUUAUUAACUUGAAAAAGCUUGUGCAUGUAGAACAGUGACUCCCUAUUUCUACGAAGGAAAAAAAACAACCAGUCAGUGGGGACAGCAGCCCUAGGAUAGCUCAUGCUGGACGCCAGGCUUGCCCAGCUGCUGAAGGUUGUGGGGGUUGCUUUGUUGAGCGGGAUGUGGUUGGUGUCAGUGUCACCACUUCUUCCCUGGGAAACACAAAGACCCCGGUUAAUUAAGGGAACCAAACUCCUCAAAGUUGGGUAUUUCGUAUUACACCCUGAGCACAGCCACUGUCUGGGCUGAAAUGGACAGAGCUGCGUAAACGCAAAUCGCUCGGUAUACGAAGGCAGAUGUUAGAUUGCACUGUUAGUUACUGUGUUGUUUGAUAUUGUUUCCAAAUGCGCAGAAGCUUCUUUCUAAGCUUAUCGCUGCACCAGCAGCUGAGAUUAAAAUGCAAGAAGUACUUGCAAUCAAACCAGUUUAAUUCAUGUAUAUUUGUACAAUU
Gallus gallus (chicken) is the source of this 1641-nucleotide long non-coding RNA. Lineage: Eukaryota; Metazoa; Chordata; Aves; Galliformes; Phasianidae. The record is from Ensembl.